Molecule: unclassified non-coding RNA, 205 nt
Filed under: uncultured fungus
Lineage: Eukaryota; Fungi
Description: sequence contains ITS1
Source: RNAcentral
UUGAUUAUUGCUGGGGACUCAGAGAUACACUGAAGCAGAGUUUAGGUUCGGGCUCCCGGCGGGCACCUCCCCAGAGGGGGAGGCAGUGGCCCCUCCCCGGGGCUGCCCGCCAGAGCAACAAGAGUAUAGGUUCACAAGGGGUAGAUGAAGAGGCCCGGGGGCGCUCCUUCUCGUAAUGAUCCCUCCGCUGGUUCACCAACGGAGA